Long non-coding RNA from Camelus dromedarius (Arabian camel), 667 nucleotides. RefSeq lists it as uncharacterized. The record is from RefSeq and is a predicted model, not a curated record. The transcript is spliced from 2 exons. NCBI's taxonomy places the organism in Eukaryota, Metazoa, Chordata, Mammalia, Artiodactyla, Camelidae.
GCGCACCCCGCCCCGCCGCCGCCUCGCCAUCCCCCGAGGCCCGCUCGAGGCGCGGGCCGCAGGGCCGGGGCCCUCUCCGCGGCUCCCCGCCGCCCUGCUCCGGGGUGCGGCCCCGAGGCCCUGGGGAACUCAGGCUGGGGCUGGGCCUGGGCCUGUUCGCAGCAGGCCGGAAACUCGGGCCUGCCCUCAGGCGGCGGCGCUCGCCUCGGCCCAGCCUCCCCGCCUCCCGCGCUGAGGUGUGGGAGCGCCAGCCCCGUUGCACCGUUCUCAAACUGGCCAAGACGCGUUCGUUCCCGAAAGCCGAUUAGCUAUCACGAUGAGCACGGGAAAUAACUGAAACGAUAGCGUGGAAAACUGUGAUUUCCACUCAGCAAGAGUAUUGUGUCGGAAAGCGUGCUUGACUUCUACGGGGUUCCCAGUUUCAAUACCGGUGUGGACAAAACAAUAUUGGUUGCCAUUUCAGUAAAGAAUGUUGCCCGCCAUCAAGCCACCAGCUACACCAGCCACUGCAACCACUCUCCAUGGUGUGCCCUGAGUGGAUUCCAGGAUGGAGAAAAAGAGGAUACUGGCCCUAGAUAGUUAUGAUGCAGACCAGAGGAAUAAUUUCUCUGAGCCCAGACUCUUGCAUCUUCCCAUGCAUAGAAAAGCAUUAAAAUCAUCAACUUGA